This 253-nucleotide ribosomal RNA is filed under the name uncultured bacterium. Its description in RNAcentral is "partial 16S ribosomal RNA". It matches the Rfam family "Bacterial small subunit ribosomal RNA", at positions 524 to 776 of the family's 1533-position model. The record is from RNAcentral.
UACGGGGGGGGCAAGCGUUGUUCGGAAUUACUGGGCGUAAAGGGCGCGUAGGCGGUUUGCUAAGUUGGACGUGAAAACUCUGGGCUUAACCCAGAGCCUGCAUCCAAAACUGGCAAGCUAGAGUUUUGGAGGGGGAAGCGGAAUUCCUGGUGUAGCAGUGAAAUGCGUAGAUAUCAGGAGGAACACCGGUGGCGAAGGCGGCUUCCUGGACAAAAACUGACGCUGAGGCGCGAAAGCUAGGGGAGCAAACGGG